Molecule: long non-coding RNA, 886 nt
Filed under: Cricetulus griseus (Chinese hamster)
Lineage: Eukaryota; Metazoa; Chordata; Mammalia; Rodentia; Cricetidae
Description: lncRNA (ENSCGRG00000025481.1)
Source: RNAcentral
AUGGAGCCCAGGCGCCGGCGGGCCUUUCUGGAACAAGGAAAGGGAGUGGAAGCUUUGGCGGUGCAGCUGGCGAUCCGUUUCGGAUUCCUCAUUCUUUGUUGUGAUUACUUUGCGCGGAUUUGGCCUGAUAACAAACGCUCUUCGUGCCUGCCUGUUUCCCGGUCUGGGCUCAGCACCGAGGAUUACUACCCACCCCCGACCCCCCAACCCCUAUUACAGAUUUUGCUUUGGAGAAGCACUGGGGCAGAGUUUGGUACAGCCGCUGUGAGCACUAAUGCAGUUGCCCUGCUCCUGAGCUACCUUGGUGUCACACCUGCUCCACCUGCUGGCCAAACGUUGUCACUAAAUCUACACGACCCAAUUCUCUGAGGAUCGAAACUCUGGUGAAUCGCUUGAGAACGUUUAAACGAUGACCACAAACCUCCCGGGUAGUUCAUGGAGAAACCCCUGACAGAUUACCCCACUGACCACUGCGUCAGAAGCUGAUAAGCAGGAUCCUUGUGAAGGGUCAGCAACUGCCAUUUACUUGGACAAGAUUGAUUAGCACAUCCUGAGGUCUGAGGGUUUUACAACCGGUAGGUCAGGAGGCCAUCUGAUUCCCAGCCCUCCCCUCAAGACAAAGGGCCUCCUAGGAACCCAUGACUCUGGUCACCUACUUAAUGGUCAGAGGGUUGUGGCCCCUCCCUAAGCUUGUGGUCUUUGCCUUUAAAAACGCCUGUGCCUGGAGAUCAGGGCUUCUCUCUAGCCUGCGUGCUGAGGGGGCCCGUUUGUACAAACGUUCACCAUUCAUUAAAGCUUCUUGCAUGUUCAUUAAUUGGACUGGAUAUUGAGUUCUUGGGGGACCGUAAGGUUGGAGAUCCCUCAAUCUGAGGGUCUUUCAGACUGA